Molecule: microRNA precursor, 52 nt
Filed under: Pteropus alecto (black flying fox)
Lineage: Eukaryota; Metazoa; Chordata; Mammalia; Chiroptera; Pteropodidae
Also listed under: 1 other name
Description: mir-1302 microRNA precursor family
Rfam family: mir-1302 microRNA precursor family
Source: Rfam by way of RNAcentral
GUUUUAGUCUGAAUAUGUCCCAUGCAAUAUUUGGGACAUACUUAGACUAGAA